GAGGGUGUAGCUCAGGGGUAGAGUGAGGGCUUAGCAUGCAUAAGGUCCUGGGUUCAAUCCCCAGUACUUCA
Molecule: transfer RNA, 71 nt
Organism: Camelus ferus (Wild Bactrian camel)
Lineage: Eukaryota; Metazoa; Chordata; Mammalia; Artiodactyla; Camelidae
Rfam family: tRNA
About the family: Transfer RNA (tRNA) molecules are approximately 80 nucleotides in length.
Source: Rfam